GGGUUGUGAGGUUAAGCGACCAAGCGUACACGGUGGAUGCCCUGGCAGUCAGAGGCGAUGAAGGACGUGCUAAUCUGCGAAAAGCGCCGGUAAGGUGAUAUGAACCGUUAUAGCCGGCGAUGUCCGAAUGGGGAAACCCAGUGUGAUUCGUCACACUAUCAUUAACUGAAUCCAUAGGUUAAUGAGGCGAACCGGGGGAACUGAAACAUCUAAGUACCCCGAGGAAAAGAAAUCAACCGAGAUUCCCCCAGUAGCGGCGAGCGAACGGGGAGGAGCCCAGAGCCUGAAUCAGCAUGUGUGUUAGUGGAAGCGUCUGGAAAGGCGCGCGAUACAGGGUGACAGCCCCGUACACAAAAGCGCACGUGCUGUGAGCUCGAUGAGUAGGGCGGGACACGUGGUAUCCUGUCUGAAUAUGGGGGGACCAUCCUCCAAGGCUAAAUACUCCUGACUGACCGAUAGUGAACCAGUACCGUGAGGGAAAGGCGAAAAGAACCCCGGCGAGGGGAGUGAAACAGAACCUGAAACCGUGUACGUACAAGCAGUGGGAGCCCCACCACUAAGCCAGUGGUGAACUCCACAUACGCAUCCUUUGCUGAGGAUACGGUUAACGGAGCGAAAGCGACGUUCAACCACAAAAGAAGCAGAGGGGCUUAGUGGUGGGGUGACUGCGUACCUUUGUAUAAUGGGUCAGCGACUUAUAUUCUGUAGCAAGGUUAACCGCAUAGGGAGCCGGAGGAAACCGAGUCUUAACCGGGCGUUAAGUUGCAGGGUAUAGACCCGAAACCCGGUGAUCUAGCCAUGGGCAGGUUGAAGGUUGGGUAACACUAACUGGAGGACCGAACCGACUAAUGUUGAAAAAUUAGCGGAUGACCUGUGGCUGGGGGUGAAAGGCCAAUCAAACCGGGAGAUAGCUGGUUCUCCCCGAAAGCUAUUUAGGUAGCGCCUCGUGAAUUCAUCUCCGGGGGUAGAGCACUGUUUCGGCCAGGGGGCCAUCCCGGCUUACCAAUCCGAUGCAAACUGCGAAUACCGGAGAAUGUUAUCACGGGAGACACACGGCAGGUGCUAACGUCCGUCGUGAAGAGAAACAACAGACCGCCAGCUAAGGUCCCAAAGUCAUGGUUAAGUGGGAAACGAUGUGGGAAGGCCCAGACAGCCAGGAUGUUGGCUUAGAAGCAGCCAUCAUUUAAAGAAAGCGUAAUAGCUCACUGGUCGAGUCGGCCUGCGCGGAAGAUGUAACGGGGCUAAACCAUGCACCGAAGCUGCGGCAGCGACACUGAUGUGUUGUUGGGUAGGGGAGCGUUCUGUAAGCCGUUGAAGGUGGCCUGUGAGGGUUGCUGGAGGUAUCAGAAGUGCGAAUGCUGACAUAAGUAACGAUAAAGCGGGUGAAAAGCCCGCUCGCCGGAAGACCAAGGGUUCCUGUCCAACGUUAAUCGGGGCAGGGUGAGUCGACCCCCUAAGGCGAGGCCGAAAGGCGUAGUCGAUGGGAAACGGGUUAAUAUUCCCGUACUUGGUGUUACUGCGAAGGGGGGACGGAGAAGGCUAUGUUGGCCGGGCGACGGUUGUCCCGGUUUAAGCGUGUAGGUGUGUGUUCCAGGUAAAUCCGGUUCACUUUAACACUGAGGCGUGAUGACGAGGCACUACGGUGCUGAAGCAACAAAUGCCCUGCUUCCAGGAAAAGCCUCUAAGCCUCAGGUAACAUCAAAUCGUACCCCAAACCGACACAGGUGGUCAGGUAGAGAAUACCAAGGCGCUUGAGAGAACUCGGGUGAAGGAACUAGGCAAAAUGGUGCCGUAACUUCGGGAGAAGGCACGCUGACACGUAGGUGAAGUGGUUUACCCAUGGAGCUGAAGUCAGUCGAAGAUACCAGCUGGCUGCAACUGUUUAUUAAAAAACACAGCACUGUGCAAACACGAAAGUGGACGUAUACGGUGUGACGCCUGCCCGGUGCCGGAAGGUUAAUUGAUGGGGUCAGCGCAAGCGAAGCUCCUGAUCGAAGCCCCGGUAAACGGCGGCCGUAACUAUAACGGUCCUAAGGUAGCGAAAUUCCUUGUCGGGUAAGUUCCGACCUGCACGAAUGGCGUAAUGAUGGCGGGCUGUCUCCACCCGGGACUCAGUGAAAUUGAACUCGCUGUGAAGAUGCAGUGUACCCGCGGCAAGACGGAAAGACCCCGUGAACCUUUACUAUAGCUUGACACUGAACACUGGUCCUUGAUGUGCAGGAUAGGUGGGAGGCUUUGAAGUGUGGACGCCAGUCUGCAUGGAGCCAUCCUUGAAAUACCACCCUUUAAUGGCUGGUGUUCUAACGUGGGCCCGUGAACCGGGUUGCGGACAGUGUCUGGUGGGUAGUUUGACUGGGGCGGUCUCCUCCUAAAGAGUAACGGAGGAGCACGAAGGUUGGCUAAUCUGGUCGGACAUCAGGAGGUUAGUGCAAUGGCAUAAGCCAGCUUGACUGCGAGCGUGACGGCGCGAGCAGGUGCAAAGCAGGUCAUAGUGAUCCGGUGGUUCUGAAUGGAAGGGCCAUCGCUCAACGGAUAAAAGGUACUCCGGGGAUAACAGGCUGAUACCGCCCAAGAGUUCAUAUCGACGGCGGUGUUUGGCACCUCGAUGUCGGCUCAUCACAUCCGGGGCUGAAGUAGGUCCCAAGGGUAUGGCUGUUCGCCAUUUAAAGUGGUACGCGAGCUGGGUUUAGAACGUCGUGAGACAGUUCGGUCCCUAUCUGCCGUGGGCGCUGGAAGAUUGAGGGGCUGCUCCUAGUACGAGAGGACCGGGUGGACGCAUCACUGGUGUUCGGGUUGUCAUGCCAAUGGCACUGCCCGGUAGCUACAUGCGGAAGAGAUAAGUGCUGAAAGCAUCUAAGCACGAAACUUGCCCCGAGAUGAAUCUUCCCUGAGCCUUUAAGGCUCCUGAAGGAACGUUGAAGACGACGACGUUGAUAGGCCGGAUGUGUAAGCGCAGCGAUGCGUUGAGCUAACCGGUACUAAUGAACCGUGAGGCUUAACCUUACAACGCCGAAG
Molecule: ribosomal RNA, 3015 nt
Filed under: Salmonella enterica
Lineage: Bacteria; Pseudomonadati; Pseudomonadota; Gammaproteobacteria; Enterobacterales; Enterobacteriaceae
Description: bacterial LSU rRNA
Rfam family: Bacterial large subunit ribosomal RNA
Source: RNAcentral